This 258-nucleotide ribosomal RNA is filed under the name uncultured archaeon. RNAcentral's name for it is "partial 16S ribosomal RNA". It matches the Rfam family "Archaeal small subunit ribosomal RNA", at positions 725 to 982 of the family's 1478-position model. The record is from RNAcentral.
UACAUUAGAUACCCGGGUAGUCCCAGCCGUAAACUAUGCGCGUUAGGUGUAUCGGUGACCACGAGUUACCGAGGUGCCGAAGGGAAACCGUGAAACGUGCCGCCUGGGAAGUACGGUCGCAAGGCUGAAACUUAAAGGAAUUGGCGGGGGAGCACCACAACAGGUGGAGCCUGCGGUUUAAUUGGACUCAACGCCGGGAAGCUCACCGGAUAGGACAGCAGAAUGAUUGCCGGGCUGAAGACCCUGCAUGACUAGCUG